RNAcentral lists this long non-coding RNA (200 nucleotides) under Medicago truncatula (barrel medic). RNAcentral describes it as "long non-coding RNA (MTRU_LNC000885)". Lineage: Eukaryota; Viridiplantae; Streptophyta; Magnoliopsida; Fabales; Fabaceae. The record is from RNAcentral.
UUGUUUCAAAUGCCCAUAGACUCCUUCAUUUAAAAAGAAGAUGGUCGUUGUGGUUUUGCAAAAUCGUGUUGUGGGACAUGUGCGUACAUGGCUAAUGUGUGGGGUGGUUUUUAAGGCUUGAUGCUUAAUAAAGUAAGAGGAUUGUCUCAUGUAGAGUUGCAUUUGGAUUUUCAGAGCACCCCACAACUUAGCCAUGUACG